Molecule: ribosomal RNA, 253 nt
Filed under: uncultured bacterium
Lineage: Bacteria
Description: partial 16S ribosomal RNA
Rfam family: Bacterial small subunit ribosomal RNA
Source: RNAcentral
UACGUAGGGGGCAAGCGUUGUCCGGAUUUAUUGGGCGUAAAGAGCGUGUAGGCGGCCUUACAGGUCAGCUGUGAAAACUCGAGGCUCAACCUCGAGACGUCGGUUGAAACCGUAAGGCUAGAGUCCGGAAGAGGAGAGUGGAAUUCCCGGUGUAGCGGUGAAAUGCGCAGAUAUCGGGAAGAACACCCGUGGCGAAGGCGGCUCACUGGCCCGGUACUGACGCUGAGGUGCGAAAGCGUGGGGAGCAAACGGG